Long non-coding RNA from Sinocyclocheilus anshuiensis, 258 nucleotides. RefSeq lists it as uncharacterized. The record is from RefSeq and is a predicted model, not a curated record. Lineage: Eukaryota; Metazoa; Chordata; Actinopteri; Cypriniformes; Cyprinidae. The transcript is spliced from 3 exons.
UGCGUCUGUAUGUGCUGGUGACCUCAUACGACCCUCUCCUGAUCUAGCUCUAUGAGGAGGGCCUGGUCAGGUUUGCCACAGUGAAGUAUGACCACGCCAUGGCAAACAUCAAGAACCAGUUCAUGCAUCUGACCAACUACAGUGUUAACAAGAAGAGCAGCGACUACGUCAGCUGCGAUGACCCUGAAGUAGAGGAUUAUGGGAACAAAUGGAGCAUGAGCGCAAUGCUGAGAUAUUUGAGGCAAGAAGGCAAAGACA